Molecule: long non-coding RNA, 235 nt
Organism: Pipistrellus kuhlii (Kuhl's pipistrelle)
Lineage: Eukaryota; Metazoa; Chordata; Mammalia; Chiroptera; Vespertilionidae
Exons: 3
Source: RefSeq, a predicted model, not a curated record
AAUAAGGAAGGACAGUGGGGCCUGGAAAAUGGAAUUUCCAGCUUAUCCGGAACUCAGUGCCAGAUUAUUACAACGGAAUAAUGAACCCUCUGUGAAACACUCCGUGUUAGAAUGCAGAAGCAGAGCUAAGUUUAACGUGGAGGUCUGGUUAGUAGUGUGUAAACUGGUCAUGUCUGCUCAAGGUUCUCGUGAGAACAAGACUACUUGCUCCAGCACUCACUACCUCAGAGUAUGA